RNAcentral lists this unclassified non-coding RNA (236 nucleotides) under uncultured fungus. RNAcentral's name for it is "sequence contains ITS1". Lineage: Eukaryota; Fungi. The record is from RNAcentral.
GUAUUGAUUGCGUGUGAUCGCAAAUAAAAUAAAAGACAUUCUACACUGCAUCAAUGUUUGUGUGAAAACGUAAGCCCCCCUCCGAACAAGCCAAAGGGGGACCCACGCGGUGGUGCACAUAGGGGUGAGAUGGAUGUGUGUGAGGGCACUCGGGCGUGCACGACCUUUCGGGUCAGCGACAGCCCUCGCACCUCGGUUAUACAAUAAUGAUCCUUCCGCAGGUUCACCUACGGAAA